This 433-nucleotide ribosomal RNA is filed under the name uncultured bacterium. RNAcentral's name for it is "partial 16S ribosomal RNA". It matches the Rfam family "Bacterial small subunit ribosomal RNA", at positions 29 to 507 of the family's 1533-position model. The record is from RNAcentral.
AACGAACGCUGGCGGCAGGCCUAACACAUGCAAGUCGAGCGAGGACUUCGGUCCUAGCGGCGGACGGGUGAGUAACGCGUGGGAACGUGCCCUUUGCUUCGGAAUAGCCCUGGGAAACUGGGAGUAAUACCGGAUGAGCCCUUUGGGGGAAAGAUUUAUCGGCGAAGGGUCGGCCCGCGUUGGAUUAGGUAGUUGGUGGGGUAAUGGCCUACCAAGCCGACGAUCCAUAGCUGGUUUGAGAGGAUGAUCAGCCACACUGGGACUGAGACACGGCCCAGACUCCUACGGGAGGCAGCAGUGGGGAAUCUUAGACAAUGGGGGAAACCCUGAUCUAGCCAUGCCGCGUGAGCGAUGAAGGCCUUAGGGUUGUAAAGCUCUUUCAGCUGGGAAGAUAAUGACGGUACCAGCAGAAGAAGCCCCGGCUAACUCCGUG